RNAcentral lists this ribosomal RNA (423 nucleotides) under uncultured Rhodospirillales bacterium. RNAcentral's name for it is "bacterial SSU rRNA". It matches the Rfam family "Bacterial small subunit ribosomal RNA", at positions 24 to 479 of the family's 1533-position model. Lineage: Bacteria; Pseudomonadati; Pseudomonadota; Alphaproteobacteria; Rhodospirillales. The record is from RNAcentral.
UCAGAGCGAACGCUGGCGGCAGGCUUAACACAUGCAAGUCGAACGAUAAGCUAGACUUCGGUUUAGUGGACAGUGGCAGACGGGUGAGUAACGCGUGGGAAUCUACCUUUGAGUGGGGAAUAACAAUUAGAAAUGAUUGCUAAUACCGCAUAUACCCUCCGGGGGAAAGGCUUCGGCCGCUCUUAGAUGAGCCCGCGUACGAUUAGUUUGUUGGUGAGGUAAAGGCUCACCAAGACUACGAUCGUUAGCUGGUUUGAGAGGAUGAUCAGCCACACUGGGACUGAGACACGGCCCAGACUCCUACGGGAGGCAGCAGUGGGGAAUAUUGGACAAUGGGCGAAAGCCUGAUCCAGCCAUGCCGCGUGAGUGAAGAAGGCCUUAGGGUUGUAAAACUCUUUCGACAGGGAAGAUAAUGACGGUACC